Molecule: ribosomal RNA, 225 nt
Filed under: uncultured Acinetobacter sp.
Lineage: Bacteria; Pseudomonadati; Pseudomonadota; Gammaproteobacteria; Moraxellales; Moraxellaceae
Description: partial 16S ribosomal RNA
Rfam family: Bacterial small subunit ribosomal RNA
Source: RNAcentral
CGCGCAGGUGGUUUCUUAAGUCUGAUGUGAAAUCCCCGAGCUUAACUUGGGAAUUGCAUUCGAUACUGGGAAGCUAGAGUAUGGGAGAGGAUGGUAGAAUUCCAGGUGUAGCGGUGAAAUGCGUAGAGAUCUGGAGGAAUACCGAUGGCGAAGGCAGCCAUCUGGCCUAAUACUGACGCUGAGGUACGAAAGCAUGGGGAGCAAACAGGAUUAGAUACCCGGGUA